Molecule: long non-coding RNA, 322 nt
Organism: Ipomoea nil (Japanese morning glory)
Lineage: Eukaryota; Viridiplantae; Streptophyta; Magnoliopsida; Solanales; Convolvulaceae
Exons: 2
Source: RefSeq, a predicted model, not a curated record
AGUCAGCGAGCUGUUGAGGGAGCGAACAACGUAUGCAGCUGGGAUCUCGCCAGCUUCAGCAUCUGGAAACCUAUAAGCAAAAGCGAUUCUACUGCAAGAUGCCACUUACGGGAUGACAACUGCAUCGACUAUUUCAGGAUGAGAAAUGAGCAGACUUUCAAGCUCUGCUGGUGCAACCUGGUAACAGUAUUAGUACAAGUUACUCUAUUUCUCUAAGAAUUAUUGAAGCUGAUUGAUGUACAUAUAUAGCAAACUAUGUGGUAAGAAAGUUCUGUUAAAAUGCCGAGUUCUACAUAAAAUGAUUAUUGGAAUUCCUGACUAA